Molecule: ribosomal RNA, 468 nt
Filed under: uncultured bacterium
Lineage: Bacteria
Description: partial 16S ribosomal RNA
Rfam family: Bacterial small subunit ribosomal RNA
Source: RNAcentral
GACGAACGCUGGCGGCGUGCUUAACACAUGCAAGUCGAACGGAAAGGCCCUGCUUUUGUGGGGUGCUCGAUUGGCGAACACGUGAGUAACACGUGAGUAACCUGCCCUUGACUUUCGGAUAACUUCUGGAAACUGCGGCUAAUAUCGGAUAGGAGCUCCUGCAGCAUGGUGGGGGUUGGUAAGUUUCGGCGGUUGGGGAUGGACUCGCGGCAUAUCCGCUUCUUGGUGUAGUUGUGGCUUACCAAGGCUUUGACGGGUAGCCGGCCUGAGAGGGUGACCGGGAACAAUAGGACUAAGAGAGGGACCAGAAGCCGACCGGAGGCAGCGGUGGGGAGUAUGGCGGAGUAGGCCGACGCCUGAUGCAGCAACCUUGCGAGCGGGAUGACGGCUUUCGGGUUGUGAACAGCUUUGGCCUGUGAUGAGGCGUGAGUGACGGUAAUGGGUAAAAAAGCACCGGCUAACUACGUG